This 413-nucleotide long non-coding RNA is filed under the name Equus asinus (donkey). RNAcentral's name for it is "lncRNA (ENSEASG00005025172.1)". The record is from RNAcentral. Lineage: Eukaryota; Metazoa; Chordata; Mammalia; Perissodactyla; Equidae.
UUAAGCGGCAACACUGAGAUUCAAACUUGGACAUCUAGCUUCAGAGACUCUGCUCUUAACCACUAAAGCAAACUAUCUUUACGCUAUCCACUACACCAUCUUUUUUUGAAGACCGUGGUGAAGACUCAGGCUUUGUAGUUGUGAAAUUCGACCCUGCCCCUAAAUGUUAGCACAAAACCAGAUCUUCAACGUAAUGUGAAUCUUGCCAAAAUACUUAAGAAAUCCAAGCCAAGAAACCUGGAGAACAAUCUGGCAGCAUUUAGUGAUGUCAUGAAUGUGCACCCGUGUGAGCUGGCAACCGUCUCCUGGGAGCCUCUUCCACAGGUUGAUCCUGGAGAGCACUGACAAAGGACUUUCCACUACACAUCCCAAGAAGAGGAAAAGAGCAGCAGAAAGGCUUAUUUGUAAAAAGG